GCAGGAGUGCCGGAGCGGUCAAACGGAAUGGUCUCAAGAACCAUUGGCUUAGUGCCUACAAAGGUUCGAAUCCUUUCUCCUGCA
RNAcentral lists this transfer RNA (84 nucleotides) under Candidatus Pacearchaeota archaeon. RNAcentral's name for it is "tRNA-Leu". It matches the Rfam family "tRNA". Rfam says of the family: Transfer RNA (tRNA) molecules are approximately 80 nucleotides in length. Their secondary structure includes four short double-helical elements and three loops (D, anti-codon, and T loops). The record is from RNAcentral. Lineage: Archaea; Nanobdellati.